Molecule: ribosomal RNA, 226 nt
Filed under: uncultured bacterium
Lineage: Bacteria
Description: partial 16S ribosomal RNA
Rfam family: Bacterial small subunit ribosomal RNA
Source: RNAcentral
UGAGUAACACGUAUCCAACCUGCCGUCUACUCUUGGACAGCCUUCUGAAAGGAAGAUUAAUACAAGAUGGCAUCAUGAGUCCGCAUGUUCACAUGAUUAAAGGUAUUCCGGUAGACGAUGGGGAUGCGUUCCAUUAGAUAGUAGGCGGGGUAACGGCCCACCUAGUCUUCGAUGGAUAGGGGUUCUGAGAGGAAGGUCCCCCACAUUGGAACUGAGCACGGUCCAA